Molecule: ribosomal RNA, 425 nt
Filed under: uncultured bacterium
Lineage: Bacteria
Description: partial 16S ribosomal RNA
Rfam family: Bacterial small subunit ribosomal RNA
Source: RNAcentral
GUGGGGAAUAUUGGACAAUGGGCGCAAGCCUGAUCCAGCCAUGCCGCGUGAGUGAUGAAGGCCUUAGGAUUGUAAAAUUCUUUCACCGGGGACGAUAAUGACGGUACCCGGAGAAGAAGCUCCGGCUAACUUCGUGCCAGCAGCCGCGGUAAUACGAAGGGGGCUAGCGUUGCUCGGAAUUACUGGGCGUAAAGGGCGCGUAGGCGGACAGCUUAGUCAGAGGUGAAAGCCCAGGGCUCAACCUUGGAAUUGCCUUUGAUACUGGCUGUCUUGAGUUUGGGAGAGGUGAGUGGAACUCCGAGUGUAGAGGUGAAAUUCGUAGAUAUUCGGAAGAACACCAGUGGCGAAGGCGACUCACUGGCCCAAUACUGACGCUGAGGCGCGAAAGCGUGGGGAGCAAACAGGAUUAGAUACCCUGGUAGUCC